RNAcentral lists this ribosomal RNA (497 nucleotides) under uncultured bacterium. RNAcentral describes it as "partial 16S ribosomal RNA". It matches the Rfam family "Bacterial small subunit ribosomal RNA", at positions 28 to 507 of the family's 1533-position model. The record is from RNAcentral.
GAUGAACGCUGGCGGCGUGCCUAAUACAUGCAAGUCGAGCGAACGGACGAGAAGCUUGCUCUUCUGAUGUUAGCGGCGGACGGGUGAGUAACACGUGGAUAACCUACCUAUAAGACUGGGAUAACUUCGGGAAACCGGAGCUAAUACCGGAUAAUAUAUUGAACCGCAUGGUUCAAAAGUGAAAGACGGUCUUGCUGUCACUUAUAGAUGGAUCCGCGCUGCAUUAGCUAGUUGGUAAGGUAACGGCUUACCAAGGCAACGAUGCAUAGCCGACCUGAGAGGGUGAUCGGCCACACUGGAACUGAGACACGGUCCAGACUCCUACGGGAGGCAGCAGUAGGGAAUCUUCCGCAAUGGGCGAAAGCCUGACGGAGCAACGCCGCGUGAGUGAUGAAGGUCUUCGGAUCGUAAAACUCUGUUAUUAGGGAAGAACAUAUGUGUAAGUAACUAUGCACAUCUUGACGGUACCUAAUCAGAAAGCCACGGCUAACUACGUG